UCGAACGAACUCUGGUAUUGAUUGGUGCUUGCAUCAUGAUUUACAUUUGAGUGAGUGGCGAACUGGUGAGUAACACGUGGGAAACCUGCCCRGAAGMGGGGGAUAACACCUGGAAACAGAUGCUAAUACCGCAUAACAACUUGGACCGCAUGGUCCGAGUUUGAAAGAUGGCUUCGGCUAUCACUUYUGGAUGGUCCCGCGGCGUAUUAGCUAGAUGGUGAGGUAACGGCUCACCAUGGCAAUGAUACGUAGCCGACCUGAGAGGGUAAUCGGCCACAUUGGGACUGAGACACGGCCCAAACUCCUACGGGAGGCAGCAGUAGGGAAUCUUCCACAAUGGACGAAAGUCUGAUGGAGCAACGCCGCGUGAGUGAAGAAGGGUUUCGGCUCGUAAAACUCUGUUGUUAAAGAAGAACAUAUCUGAGAGUAACUGUUCAGGUAUUGACGGUAUUUAACCAGAAAGCCACGGCUAACUACGUGCCAGCMGCCGCGGUAAU
Molecule: ribosomal RNA, 497 nt
Filed under: Lactiplantibacillus plantarum
Lineage: Bacteria; Bacillati; Bacillota; Bacilli; Lactobacillales; Lactobacillaceae
Description: bacterial SSU rRNA
Rfam family: Bacterial small subunit ribosomal RNA
Source: RNAcentral